AACGAACGCUGGCGGCAUGCCUAACACAUGCAAGUCGAACGAGACCUUCGGGUCUAUUGGCGCACGGGUGCGUAACGCGUGGGAACCUUCCCUUAUGUUCGGAAUAACUCCCCGAAAGGGGUGCUAAUACCGGAUAAUGUCUUCGGACCAAAGAUUUAUCGCCUCUGGAUGGGCCCGCGUUGGAUUAGCUAGUUGGUAGGGUAAAAGCCUACCAAGGCGACGAUCCGUAGCUUGUCUGAGAGGAUGAUCAGCAACACUGGGACUGAGACACGGCCCAGACUCCUACGGGAGGCAGCAGUGGGGAAUAUUGGACAAUGGGCGAAAGCCUGAUACAGCAAUGCCGCGUGAGUGAUGAAGGCCUUAGGGUUGUAAAGCUCUUUUACCCGGGAUGAUAAUGACAGUACCGGGAGAAUAAGCUCCGGCUAACUCCGUG
Molecule: ribosomal RNA, 433 nt
Filed under: uncultured bacterium
Lineage: Bacteria
Description: partial 16S ribosomal RNA
Rfam family: Bacterial small subunit ribosomal RNA
Source: RNAcentral